RNAcentral lists this ribosomal RNA (313 nucleotides) under uncultured Gelria sp. RNAcentral's name for it is "partial 16S ribosomal RNA". It matches the Rfam family "Bacterial small subunit ribosomal RNA", at positions 419 to 744 of the family's 1533-position model. Lineage: Bacteria; Bacillati; Bacillota; Clostridia; Thermoanaerobacterales; Thermoanaerobacteraceae. The record is from RNAcentral.
CGGGGGGAAAAACUUUUUUUUAAUGGGGGAAGAUAAUGACGGUACCUCAGGAAGAAGCCCCGGCUAACUACGUGCCAGCAGCCGCGGUAAUACGUAGGGGGCGAGCGUUUUCCGGAAUUACUGGGCGUAAAGGGCGCGCAGGCGGCCCUUUAAGUCGGACGUGAAAGCCCCGGGCUCAACCGGGGAAGGGCGGUUGAAACUGCGGGGCUGGAGUGCGGGAGAGGGGGGCGGAAUUCCCGGUGUAGCGGUGAAAUGCGUAGAUAUCGGGAGGAUUACUCGCUGCGGAAGGCAGGCUGCCUGGACCGCUACUGAC